RNAcentral lists this ribosomal RNA (141 nucleotides) under marine snow associated bacterium AdriaticR27. Its description in RNAcentral is "partial 16S ribosomal RNA". It matches the Rfam family "Bacterial small subunit ribosomal RNA", at positions 300 to 441 of the family's 1533-position model. The record is from RNAcentral.
AUGAUCAGCCACACUGGAACUGAGACACGGUCCAGACUCCUACGGGAGGCAGCAGUAGGGAAUAUUGCGCAAUGGGGGAAACCCUGACGCAGCCACGCCGCGUGAGUGAGGAAGGCCCUANGGUGUAAAGCUCUGUCCUAA